This 73-nucleotide transfer RNA is filed under the name Planctomycetota bacterium. RNAcentral's name for it is "Planctomycetes bacterium (sediment metagenome) tRNA-Ala". It matches the Rfam family "tRNA". From Rfam's summary of the family: Transfer RNA (tRNA) molecules are approximately 80 nucleotides in length. Their secondary structure includes four short double-helical elements and three loops (D, anti-codon, and T loops). Further hydrogen bonds mediate the characteristic L-shaped molecular structure. tRNAs have two regions of fundamental functional importance: the anti-codon, which is responsible for specific mRNA codon recognition, and the 3' end, to which the tRNAs corresponding amino acid is attached (by aminoacyl-tRNA synthetases). tRNAs cope with the degeneracy of the genetic code in two manners: having more than one tRNA (with a specific anti-codon) for a particular amino acid; and 'wobble' base-pairing, i.e. permitting non-standard base-pairing at the 3rd anti-codon position. The record is from RNAcentral. Lineage: Bacteria; Pseudomonadati; Planctomycetota.
GGGGCGGUAGCUCAGUUGGGAGAGCACGGGCUUUGCAAGCCCGGGGUCGAGGGUUCGAACCCCUUCCGCUCCA